GACGUCAAGAAGGCAGCCACACGCACCCGGGGACA
This 35-nucleotide transfer RNA is filed under the name Eremophila alpestris (horned lark). Its description in RNAcentral is "partial tRNA-Phe". Lineage: Eukaryota; Metazoa; Chordata; Aves; Passeriformes; Alaudidae. The record is from RNAcentral.